This 370-nucleotide ribosomal RNA is filed under the name uncultured organism. Its description in RNAcentral is "partial 16S ribosomal RNA". It matches the Rfam family "Bacterial small subunit ribosomal RNA", at positions 527 to 896 of the family's 1533-position model. The record is from RNAcentral.
GUAGGUGGCAAGCGUUGUCCGGAAUUAUUGGGCGUAAAGCGCGCGCAGGCGGUUCUUUAAGUCUGAUGUGAAAGCCCACGGCUCAACCGUGGAGGGUCAUUGGAAACUGGAGAACUUGAGUACAGAAGAGGAAAGCGGAAUUCCACGCGUAGCGGUGAAAUGCGUAGAGAUGUGGAGGAACACCAGUGGCGAAGGCGGCUUUCUGGUCUGUAACUGACGCUGAGGCGCGAAAGCGUGGGGGAGCAAACAGGAUUAGAUACCCUGGUAGUCCACGCCGUAAACGAUGAGUGCUAAGUGUUAGGGGGUUUCCGCCCUUAGUGCUGCAGCUAACGCAUUAAGCACUCCGCCUGGGAGUACGGCCGCAAGGCUG